AUCGUGAAACCGCGAACGGCUCAUUAUUACAGCUAUAAUUUACUUGAUCUUGACAAUCCUACUUGGAUAACUGUGGUAAUUCUAGAGCUAAUACAUGCACCAAAGCUCCGACCUCGCGGGAGGAGCGCAUUUAUUAGAACAAAACCAAGCGGGCGCCUUCGCGGCGCUCGUGCUUUGUUGACUCAGAAUAACUAAGCUGAUCGCAUGGUCUUGCACCGGCGACGUGUCUUUCAAGUAUCUGCCUUAUCAACUCUUCGAUGGUAGUGUAUCUGACUACCAUGGUUGUGACGGGUAACGGAGGAUAAGGGUUCGACUCCGGAGAAGGGGCCUGAGAAAUGGCCACUACGUCUAAGGAUGGCAGCAGGCGCGCAAAUUACCCACUCUCAGAACACUGAGGAGGUAGUGACGAGAAAUAACGAGGCCGUUCUCUAUGAGGCCGGUCAUCGGAAUGGGUACAAUCUAAA
Molecule: ribosomal RNA, 464 nt
Filed under: unidentified nematode Sourhope farm
Lineage: Eukaryota; Metazoa; Nematoda
Description: SSU rRNA
Rfam family: Eukaryotic small subunit ribosomal RNA
Source: RNAcentral